Long non-coding RNA from Gorilla gorilla gorilla (western lowland gorilla), 530 nucleotides. RefSeq lists it as uncharacterized. The record is from RefSeq and is a predicted model, not a curated record. Lineage: Eukaryota; Metazoa; Chordata; Mammalia; Primates; Hominidae. The transcript is spliced from 3 exons.
UAUAAGUUCCAGGAGGUAAAAGAACUUCAUCUUCUCUGUUCAUUGAUGUAUAUUGAGCAUUUAGGUAAGUGCCUAAUACUCGGUAUUUGCUGAUUGAAUGAAUGAAUGAGUUAAAACAAAUCUUGAAGGAUCUUUAUCAACUUAUUUAAGGUGGCCUGGGUUAUAACACGGUGCAUGUCACAUAAAGAGAGCCUCAUGCUUUGAUAUGAAACCAAGCUACUUUAACAUAGACUACUCUGGGAUCCAGGAAGAUAAAAAGCAGAUGGAAUAGCAAUAACAACAACUAAAGGACAGAAAAACCUAGCAACCACAAGGCAAGAGCAAGAUAAAAAUAAGAAUAAUAAAAGAUAAACGCACGAAUUCCUAAACACCUUCCUCCUCUUCUCUCAGGAGUUCCAAUGCCUGAAUAAGAAAAUAACAGACAUCCCAGAAGAAUAUUGAACAAUGCAUACAAAUAAGUACAUCGCUGAAGAAGCAAACUGCCCGAUAAAGUCUUCAAUCUCUCUGGUGGUAAGAAUGAUCAGGGAAAU